GACGAACGCUGGCGGCGUGCUUAACACAUGCAAGUCGAACGGAAAGGCCCUGCUUUUGUGGGGUGCUCGAGUGGCGAACGGGUGAGUAACACGUGAGUAACCUGCCCUUGACUUUGGGAUAACUUCAGGAAACUGGGGCUAAUACCGGAUAGGAGCUCCUGCUGCAUGGUGGGGGUUGGAAAGUUUCGGCGGUUGGGGAUGGACUCGCGGCUUAUCAGCUUGUUGGUGGGGUAGGGGCUUACCAAGGCUUUGACGGGUAGCCGGCCUGAGAGGGUGACCGGCCACAUUGGGACUGAGAUACGGCGCAGACUCCUACGGGAGGCAGCAGUGGGGAAUAUUGCACAAUGGGCGGAAGCCUGAUGCAGAAACGCCGCGUGCGGGAUGACGGCCUUCGGGUUGUAAACCGCUUUCGCCUGUGACGAAGCGUGAGUGACGGUAAUGGGUAAAGAAGCACCGGCUAACUACGUG
Molecule: ribosomal RNA, 468 nt
Filed under: uncultured bacterium
Lineage: Bacteria
Description: partial 16S ribosomal RNA
Rfam family: Bacterial small subunit ribosomal RNA
Source: RNAcentral